GAUUAACGCGAAGAACCUUACCUGGCCUUGACAUGCAAGUAGUAGAAGGAUGAAAGUCUGACGAGGUAGCAAUACCAGCUUGCACAGGUGCUGCAUGGCUGUCGUCAGCUCGUGUCGUGAGAUGUUGGGUUAAGCCCCGCAACGAGCGCAACCCUUGUGUCCUGUUGCCACUCGAACGAGAGUUCGAAGCACUCUGGACAGACUGCCUCGCUUAAACGAGGAGGAAGGUGGGGAUGACGUCAAGUCAGUAUGGCCCUUACGGCCAGGGCUGCACACGUACUACAAUGCCCGGCACAAAGGGAAGCAAGAUCGUAAGAUGGAGCAAAUCCCCAAAAACCGGGCCCAGUUCAGAUUGUCGUCUGCAACUCGACGGCAUGAAGUUGGAAUCGCUAGUAAUGGCGCAUCAGCUACGGCGCCGUGAAUACGUUCCCGGCCUUGACACACCGAAUC
Molecule: ribosomal RNA, 450 nt
Filed under: uncultured bacterium
Lineage: Bacteria
Description: bacterial SSU rRNA
Rfam family: Bacterial small subunit ribosomal RNA
Source: RNAcentral